Non-coding RNA from Suricata suricatta (meerkat), 407 nucleotides. The record is from the annotation of a RefSeq genome assembly. Lineage: Eukaryota; Metazoa; Chordata; Mammalia; Carnivora; Herpestidae.
UGCCAUGUAAGCUGAGCUGCGUCGGGCAGGCAGGGACAGCAAGAUGGUGUCACAGAGGCAGGUCCUCAUAUCCUUGUUGCUGUGGGUCUCAGGUGCCUGUGGGGCGAUCACGAUGACGCAGUCUCCAGGCUCCCUGGCUGUGUCUCUGGGUCAGCGCGUCACCUUGACCUGCAGGGCCAGUCAGAGUGUUAGCAGCUACCUAGCUUGGUACCAGCAGAAACCCGGGCAGCGUCCUAAGCUGCUCAUCUACCGUGCAUCCAACCGGGCAUCUGGAGUCCCCGACCGAUUCAGCGGCAGUGGGUCUGGGACAGAUUUCACCCUCACCAUCAGCAACCUCCAGGCUGAAGACGUGGCGACUUAUUACUGUCAGCAGACUUAUAGCUCUCCUCCCACAGUGCUGCAGCCUC